UACGAAGGGGGCAAGCGUUGCUCGGAAUCACUGGGCGUAAAGCGCACGUAGGCGGAUUGCUAAGUCAGGGGUGAAAUCCUGGAGCUCAACUCCAGAACUGCCUUUGAUACUGAAGAUCUUGAGUUCGGGAGAGGUGAGUGGAACUGCGAGUGUAGAGGUGAAAUUCGUAGAUAUUCGCAAGAACACCAGUGGCGAAGGCGGCUCACUGGCCCGAUACUGACGCUGAGGCACGAAAGCGUGGGGAGCAAACAGG
RNAcentral lists this ribosomal RNA (253 nucleotides) under uncultured bacterium. Its description in RNAcentral is "partial 16S ribosomal RNA". It matches the Rfam family "Bacterial small subunit ribosomal RNA", at positions 524 to 776 of the family's 1533-position model. The record is from RNAcentral.